This 402-nucleotide ribosomal RNA is filed under the name bacterium. RNAcentral describes it as "partial 16S ribosomal RNA". It matches the Rfam family "Bacterial small subunit ribosomal RNA", at positions 355 to 776 of the family's 1533-position model. The record is from RNAcentral.
UGGGGUAUAUUGCACAAUGGGGGAAACCCUGAUGCAGCGACGCCGCGUGAACGAAGAAGGUAUUCGUAUCGUAAAGUUCUGUCCUAUGGGAAGAUAAUGACAGUACCAUAGAAGAAAUCUCCGGCUAAAUACGUGCCAGCAGCCGCGGUAAUACGUAUGGAGCGAGCGUUGUCCGGAAUUAUUGGGCGUAAAGGUACGCAGGCGGUUUAAUAAGUCGAAUGUUAAAGAUCGGGGCUCAACCCCGUAAAGCAUUGGAAACUGAUAAACUUGAGUAGUGGAGAGGAAAGUGGAAUUCCUAGUGUAGUGGUGAAAUACGUAGAUAUUAGGAGGAAUACCAGUAGCGAAGGCGACUUUCUGGACACAAACUGACGCUGAGGUACGAAAGCGUGGGGAGCAAACAGG